This is a long non-coding RNA of Hemiscyllium ocellatum (epaulette shark), 384 nucleotides long. RefSeq lists it as uncharacterized. Lineage: Eukaryota; Metazoa; Chordata; Chondrichthyes; Orectolobiformes; Hemiscylliidae. The record is from RefSeq and is a predicted model, not a curated record. The transcript has 4 exons.
CUGUUUGAAUACAAGGUGAGGCAAUGGAAAGAUUGUUGCACUACUCCUCAUGUAUCGGAUAAAAUCCCGUUUGCAGUCACCAAGCUCCCACAAUGAAACUGCAAGUCGUACAUAAAUAAAAUCAUGGAGGAGACCAGUAAUCUGUUUCUUUCUUUACAACGCUCUUUUGAAGAAUGGACCUAUACUUGUGGGAGUUCGAGGAAUGAACUCGGCUUGUUGGGCCGAAAGGCCUGUUUCCACACUCUCCUCUAUCUUGUCUUUCAGACUGGACACACAGAUCUGCAAUGGUCAUGAUGUUGCACAAAGUCUAUCUGACACUCGAGGAACUCCUUUUGCAGUCAUCAUUCUAACAGUUGCAAACCGUUUAUCAUCUUUAGACUUAAC